Molecule: ribosomal RNA, 253 nt
Filed under: uncultured bacterium
Lineage: Bacteria
Description: partial 16S ribosomal RNA
Rfam family: Bacterial small subunit ribosomal RNA
Source: RNAcentral
UACGGGGGGGGCAAGCGUUGUUCGGAAUUACUGGGCGUAAAGGGUUCGUAGGUGGCUUGCUAAGUCAGACGUGAAAUCCCUCAGCUUAACUGGGGAACUGCGUCUGGGACUGGUGAGCUUGAGUGCAGGAGAGGAACGCGGAAUUCCAGGUGUAGCGGUGAAAUGCGUAGAUAUCUGGAGGAACACCGGUGGCGAAGGCGGCGUUCUGGACUGCUACUGACACUGAGGAACGAAAGCCAGGGGAGCAAACGGG